GUAGUAGAAAAGGUUCUUGCUGGAGCCUUAAGGCGAGAUAUGGCUUUGAAAGGUUCUUACAAGUGUAUGUUCUUGGGUUAAUCCGACCAAAAUUUGCUAAACUCAAUUGGGACAUACACUUUGGUGGUAAGUAUACUGUGAGGAUUUUAGUGAUCGCAGUGGAUGCGGAUGCCCUUGCUUAAAUCUUUAAUUCUUGAUAACUGUGAGACGAUGAGGCCGACAUGCUUAAGCACUAUUUAGCCAACAAAGCUUCUCAUGUUCUUCAUCAAAAGCAAUGGGAAUUGAAUUCAACCUUCUCAUCGAUUAAGGCUAGGGAUUUGAUUCCAUGUUUUUAGGGCUUCAUCGAAGUAUAUUCAACAGAUGUUAAGAGGAAGUAUAUGAACUUCAAGAAGUUUGAUAUUGUUGAG
RNAcentral lists this long non-coding RNA (407 nucleotides) under Helianthus annuus (common sunflower). Its description in RNAcentral is "hypothetical non coding rna". The record is from RNAcentral. Lineage: Eukaryota; Viridiplantae; Streptophyta; Magnoliopsida; Asterales; Asteraceae.